Molecule: long non-coding RNA, 8488 nt
Organism: Aethalodelphis obliquidens (Pacific white-sided dolphin)
Lineage: Eukaryota; Metazoa; Chordata; Mammalia; Artiodactyla; Delphinidae
Exons: 5
Source: RefSeq, a predicted model, not a curated record
CCAUCGAAGGAUUAUUGCCAAGGAAGUCAGAUCAUCGAAGUUGUGUUUUCAAGAAUAUUGCUGGACGAAGGAAGGUGGUGGGUCAGCAUGUGGGCAGGCUGGUGGCAGAGACCAGGUAGGUGGUCCUCGUGACCUUCCAGGCAGAAGUGAUGAUUCCGGCCUAGGAGAGCAGCCGUGUGAAGGAAGACUGGAGACGUUUCCGAUGGACACGCACGGGAAGUUGGUGCCUUUCAGUGAAGAGGGGGAGGGGCGCGGGUGGGGGGCAGUUCGGGACGCCCCCGGUGGCUUGCCAACAUCGGGGUCGGGGUUGAGGGUGCAAACACACCACUGGAGCUGAGGGCCUGAGGGCAGGGAGUUGGAACCCCUCGAGGAGACUUGAGUUAUGAGGAGAACGCCAAGACCAGGAUGCUGGGCGCUCCUCGUGCAGAGAGCAGAAACCGAGGGAGGGCCUGGAAACGGGCCCGGGAGUUGGGCUUUGGGGAUCCUCAGCCAGCAAUUCAGACCCAUCCUGGGGGUAGUAGCUCUGUAACAGCGGAGGCAACUCCAGGCAGCAGCCAUACGUGAACAAAGAUGCUGGGAGCCUCCGGGGGCCUCACGUCUUCCCCGAGUGCGAAGCACGAGCAGGUGUGUAGGGAACACCUCCAUGCACACAUGUUCAGAGAGUGUAACGAAAGGUCAGUAAAACUUCGAUUUUCUUGGGAAAGUAAUAUUGUCCUGGGAAUCGGGAGUUUUCUCUUUCUCACCCUUACAUUUCGUAUCACAUUAUAUUCUACAUUGACAGAGCUGGCGGGAAAGGGGUCAAGUUCACAAGAUGACAUUUAUCUUGAGUGGCGCUGAAUAAAUGAUGAAAAAUGAUGUUUGCAUGAUAAGAUGAUGAAAGGGAAAAUGGGGACCAGUUUAAAAUGUUCUAAGCCUGCAAAGGUGACUUCAGAACACCCAGGGUUGUGUGUGUUUGGAAAACAAUGCCUUGUGUGUGUCCACCGGCCUCGGGAGCAGAGCGAUUUUGACCUUGAGCACGUCCAAAGCAAGACACAUGGCCACGGCCUCUGGGGGUUAUCGCGUCGGCACUUUCCCACUCUCAAAUACCAGUCUGCAGGAGAUUGACCCCCACUCCCGCCCCCAGCGUGGUCUGUGUCUUUUAUUCCCACCCUGGGGACCCAGCCAGCAGUCCCUUUUUCUCCCUCUCCUGCGCUUCACGCCCACCUGGGUCUGCUGCAGACCAGAGUGGUGGCAGGGGACGCCCCUUGAGGGCCCAGUGAAAUAUGACACCCGGGCGGGAUUCACUUCAGGCCGAGGUAAAAAUGAUGAAGAGCAUUUAAAAAUUAUUUUCUAUAGAAAAUCGUUUAAAAUGGACUAUUUGUUUCAUUUUACUUUGUCAGAAGUGUUUCCAAAGAAAGAGGGCAAAUUCUUCUGCUUUUAUUUUUUUGGUUUGCCCAUUGUUAACACUUGCCACAUUUGCUUUUUCUCUUUUUUAUAUCUAAUCCACAUCCAUUUAUGCACACACACGUUUUGAUGGCAUCGACUGGAAGUACAGACAUCAUGACACGUGACUCCCGACCCCUCAUUCUCCAUUACUGGUGAUGCCAUUACCGCACCUGAGAACAUGAACAUGCAUUUAGUGACAGAGUCCAGCAGACAAUUCCGUUUUCAUACUGCCAGUUGUUCGAAACUGAAUUUUCUAUAGCUGUUUUUUUCCUAGACAAAAUACAAUCAAGGUUCAAACAUUACAUUUCCUUUUAUUUCUCUUUUAGUAUACAACACCCACCCCCGUCUAAAAUUUCUCACGAAACUGGGCUUUGAAGAGUCCUGGCCGUUGUCACAACAAAUCCUGGUGGGCUCCACGUAAACAUGGUUGGGAAAAUCACAGCCCGGUGACACUGGCGUCUCGGGACAGACAGUACGAAGCUCACAACUGGCCACGCUAAUUACAGUCGAGGCCAGCAGACCUCCCCAUGGCAAAGGGAAGAUCAGACUACCCAUCGCAAAACGACUGAAGCCAUGACAGGCGCGUCUCUGAACGGCAGAUGGCGAGACGCUACCAUUGGCUGGGGCAAGUGCACGAGACUGGUUCCCAGCAGAGCCUGUGCGGGGUUCGGGCUGGGGCGGGGCCCGUGCUCCCAGGUUGGCGACCCAUUCUCCUGCCUGUCGGGAGGAGACCCUGCCAGGUGGAGGGGAGCCCCAGCUGCGCUGGCCGAGCGUCUGUAAAUCCAGGUGUGGGGUAGAGUUUCGUAGCGCAGUUUUGUUGCUCAGUCCCUGAGCAGUCCCGCUUCGACUAGGUGAUGGGGACGCUCUUGUUGGCCUGCCCAUUGGUCAGUCACAAGGUGUAGAAGGGACAAGCACAUCGGGCCCGGCCACUGCUGGCACCAGCCCAGCUCAAGGCCAGCCUGCUGCCAGCACACAGCAGUCACUGCAUCUCUGAAGUACUCUUACCUAUAAAAUGGAUUUGCCAUCGAGGUUCUCUCUAAUUGUUCGAGUAGGUCUGUGAGUGCCUGGAGCGACAGCGGUAGUUUCUCUAAACUCAGGAUGAGUUCACUAACAACUACUUCAGUCCGUACUGCUCUCAUUUCUCUUCUCGUGGGUCCUUAAUCCUGUCCAUUCAGAAGAGUAGGCAGGGUGGCCAGCUGUUCUGGUUUGUCCCCGCAAGGGCACAGCUGCCAGGAGGUCAGUGGGCGAUGGGCGCGGGUGAGCAGUACCGGGACGCAGACCCGUCGUCUGUCCAACGGGCCCAGGAAGGUUCCCAGCAGCAGCUCCAGGUCCCUGUCUGCGCUCGGCAUUCCCCCUUCCCCCACGUUUGUAUCAAUGACUUGGCCAAAGAAGGCGUGCUUAGCAGCUUUGCUGACAGCCUGACCUCAGCAGGAGUAAGGGCACUUCUAACUCUAGGACCUGCGAUUUUAUGACCGAUGAUGAGCUUUGUGUCCUUCAGAGGACCUGGCACUGUGUCCGGAUCAGUCACCGGGUAGGUUCCCGUCUGGACAAAGGAGGUGCUUGUUAAUUGUUUGAGAGCAGAACCUCUCUCUCUGGUUACUUCCCCCUGAAGUGCAAAUAGGGGGUCUCUGAAGGCCUUCUUCUUCCUCAAGCCACGAUUUCCCGUGAAUAUCAUUCUGAAGGUCUGAAUUAGUAUCUACUUUAUAAUUCUUAAACGCUGAUGGGUAAUCCAGGACAUUUUUAUGUCUCUGGGGAAAUUAUCCUUAAUGAGAGUAGAACAAAGCUUGCAAAAAAGUACAAGGUGAAACCAAAGCACUGAAGGCCAGCGCAGCUCCAGGAGUCCAGCACUUGUACCAGGGUGCCCGGCACCUACACACCUUAAAAUUGAGGGCUAAGAUUAUUUCUAUUACUGUCAUUACUUAAUUUUGCCCAGGCUUGGCCAAAGCUCUGAUUUCCUACAAAUAGCCAACUCUGAACAGAUGUGCCCAAGGGCAGAAUUACCAGACGAGAUGCAAAAACAAUGCAUUACAAACACAGAUUUCCCAGUAAGUAUUUAUCCAGGGCUUACUGUGUGCAGAGAAGCAAGUUCACAUGUCCACGGCAUAAAGCACACUUACUUAACUCAUCGAAAAUACAACGUAAUUAUUUGAGAUUUAUUUUAUCCUUGCCCUCAGACUUCUGACUGGUGGAGGAAGUACUUUUCAAUCUGGUCCCAAGCUAGCCGGCCAGACCCACAGAGUGGUCGUUAGCAUCCUUAUGCGUUUUGACUUAAAUGGACAAUGAGAUUUUUUAAACCUCUCUUGUUUUCUAAAUCAGAUUUAAUAGGGCAGCCAGCGUCUGCUUUACUACUUUAGCUACUCUGGGGCUAACUGAUAAAUCAGCGGCAGAGGCCAUGGCGUCCUGGCCUGGUGCCCGACAGCAGGGCCCGGGCCUGCCCUGGGCCUGCCCUGGGAAAGUGGCUCUGCCGUCCCCACCACGAACAUCCCCCCAGAGCCGUGAAACAGAGAAGCCGAAAAUACAAGAUGGACUUUGGGGCUGGGCUUGCUGUUUCGUGCCACGUGCCCUUGGUCUGUCCACGCAGCGCAGUACAGGGCAGCUGGAGUGAGGCCCACACUCCCUGGACUCGUGAGUGGCCUGGCUGUGCCACUGGGGACCGGGGCAGGGGUGGGUGCUUUGUGGAGUGUCACUGUCCAGUCGCCUCUCCUCUGGGCCUUGUCCUCCCUGCACGGAGGCUUGGCCAUUCGGGCCUGGAAGAAGCCGGGUUUCAGGCCGGUGCAGACCUGCACUUUCUCCCCGACACCAGUGGGGUCCAGCCGCCUCCCCCUUGAGCUCCUGGCCCGGCUCCUGUGAAGCGAGUGGCAGCGGAAACAACCUGCAUGAGAGUCAGUAGUGAUCUGGCCACUUCCCCCUGCAAGGUCAGCCCGGCCUGGAGGGGCCUGGGCCACUGACUUGUACCCUGACAGCAGAGGCCAAGUGGGCCUGUCGAGAUCCCAGAGGGGACUCAUGGGGUCUCUGCUCCCUGCCCACCCUCCGGCCACCCAGAUCUCCAGGCCUGGGGGGCCCUCGGGGGAGCGACUCUUCCGGCGGCCCAAUGGGGCCACCAGCAGGGAGACCCCGAGCGCGUCCCGGGUUGGGAAACCGUGCGACCGAGGGCUCCCUACCUGCACGGUGGGAUAAUAAAGCACUUUGUUACCUGUGAGUGAGAGGCCUGAUAAAAGGAAAAUAUUAUCACCCCCGCUGUGAUUAGGAGGCAUCUGGGCACCGGAGACUCGGUAACAUUUAUGAGUAAACAUCGUUUAUUUCUGUUCUCUGAUUAUGAAGGUCACGGUGGUUUAACCCUGCUGGGACAGCCUCCGACACAUUAUCUGCUCAAACAGAACUGGGAAAGAAAACACCGGCAGUCAUUAAAAGCGAAUUACUUUGUUUUAUGAAGAUAGGAGAGAGAAGGCCUCAGCUAUGGGGGCACUGGGGCGCGUCCAUGGCCCCGAGGAGACCCCCAGCCCACCCUAGGAGGGGCCGCCGGCGGGAGGAUCCCAGAGCCGCCGCCGGGGACUCAGGAGGGUCACAAGCACCCCUGGUUUUUUCAAGCAAUUUUGAAAAGCUAGCAAGAGUGCAGUGUGUGACGAUUCAGGUGUUUCCUUUACCUGUGAAAAUCGGUAAAGGAAAUAGGUCAAGGUAGCUGGAAGGAUUUCUGAAUUUCUGGUUUUAAAUUUAGCAGAGAAAUUUUUUUAAAAUUUUUUUAUUGGAGUAGAUUUACAAUACCGUGUAAGUUUUAUGCGUACAGCACAGCGAUUCAGUUAUACAUACACAGAGGUUCAGAUUCUUUUCCCUUAGAGGUUGUUACAUAAUGCUGAGUAUAGUUCCUCGUGCUGUACAGUAGAGAACUUACAUUUUUUGGGGCAUCGGUUUUACUUUUCAAAGUGAGCUGUUUGGCCUCUGACUCCUACGCUGCUCUGCUGGCUCCCUCGCCCUCAGGCUCCCGCUGGGGGGAGGGGUGUCCUAGUCAGCAGCAUGUACUUGAGUCACAUCUAGAGAUGCUGGCGCCUGGGACGGGCAGCCUGGGGCGUCGGGGAGAGAUGGCAAAGGUGGCAUGCUGGGGCAGGUCCCUGGAGCGUGUGUGUCCCGCGGGCAGCCUUGGCCGCAGGGGAGCUGGGCCAGGAGGACGAGAGGAAGCAGAGUGUGACCCAGAGCCUUUGGUUCAAACGCCUGGGAGGAGAGCGGUACCUUUGCUGAAGUGGGAAAAACCAGCUUAAUUUACUGGAGCCCUUUGAUGUGCUCAUCUCUAUACUGGAUACAGUGGGAAGUGCACAAAAGGACCAAAACAUACUUAGAACAGGCAAAUUCACAGAAUUGGAAAGUAGAGGUUCCCCAGGGGAGGGGGAAGGGGGUUAGUGUUUAAUGGGGACAGAGGUGAUGCGACAUUUGGGGAAUAGAUACAGGUGUUGGUACACAAUACUGUAUGCAUUUGGUGCGACUGAAUUGUACACUUACGAAUGGUUAAAAUGAUAACUACUAUGUGUUUUUUUGCCACACAUACACACACACACACAAAGAACCAAACAAAUACCCAGGGCAGAGUUAGCUGUCCUCCAGUCAUGCCCCAUCCUCCCUCGGAAUAGAACCCCAAUUUUUAGCGAGGCCUGUGGACAAAUGGAAAUAAAGACUCACUUUCCAACCUCCGGCAAAGCUUAGCAUGGCCGUGUUACGACUUCUCACCCGGGAGUUCCCUGGUGGCCCAGUGGCUAGGACUCAACACUCUCACUGCCGGGGCCCAGGUUCAACCCCUGGUCGGGGAACUGAGAUCCCACAAGCCACACAGCUCAGCCAGAUUAACAAAAGCGAGAGAGAGAGACUUCUCGCCAGUGGGAUGUGAGCAAAGGGGCCACACCUGAACCCCUGGGGAGGACACACGCGCACCUGCCCUUGGUCGUGUUGGUCGGGGUGUGGAGCCCAAGCCCCACCUUGAACCACAGAGGAAAAGCCACGAGAUAAAGGGCCGUGGCCCACCAGACCAGCCGCUGGCAGCCUGGGUUUACAGGAGAUGAAAUGAAUUUCUGUCCGUGAAAGCCACUGUUCCUUUGGCUCUCCUGGUGCGUGCGGCCGGCCGGGUCCUGACUGAUACAAUAGCCUACACGGCCCUUGCACUGAAGCAGCUAACAGGCCAGCGGGCGCAGCCCACGGCGGUGAGAAUUAAGACCCCACGGUUACCAACAGGCGGCGGUCUGUGGACAUCUCCAGGGCGCUGCUCACUCCUGGGUACCCUCCUGGGCAUCUUGCCUCCAACCGGCUGCAGCCUGAGGCCCACGGCACGGGGAGCAUGGCCCUGCCGUUCUCUGCUUUCUGCCCAGAGCCUGGUACUGUGUCGGGCACGGCAGCCUUACUCAGUAAGUAUCACUUAGAUCAGGCAGCUGUGGGUCCAGGUAGCAGGUAGUGGCGGGAGCUCGCGGAGCUCUUUGUGCGGCCGUGGUUUGGAAGGUUGAGCUGCGCGCGUAGUACGUACUGGAUCAGCUGGCUUUUCCUGUGUAAGCAGCCCCCCAGACGCAGUGACCUGCGACAACAGCCGUCAGCUCAUCUUUCUGUGGGCUGGCGAUUCCGCUGGGACUCUGGGACUCUCUCGUGGCUGCGGUCAACCUGCGUGUCGCCCGCAUCUACCCAGCUCGCCCGUGCCUCUCCAGCACAGCAGGCAGACAGGCCGUUUUCAAGGCUCCAGGCGCACCCCACUUGCAAACGCCUCAUGGCUCAAAAGGAGGCUGGGCUCCAGGGCUCCAGGCUGGCCAGAGAGGCAGGUUCACGGGAAGCUGAUGGCUCUCGCGCUCUCUCUCCUUCUCUGUGUCUGUCUCUGUCUCUCUCUCCGUUCUGCAGGAGUCCCCAAGAGAAGUGAUCAUGCCGGUGUGGACACAGGGUGGCCCUGGGUCCAUGAGCCUCCAGCAGGCAAGUCCAGGAGGGCAGCGAGUGGAGAGUGGGGACACCACGGGCCCUGUGUGGGAGGGGCUGACGUGGCGGAACCUCCUCUGGGGCGGCCCUCGGCCCUUCCCUCCUGUGCUGUGUGCUUCUCAACAGUGGCCCUGCGAAACAGGGCUGCCAUUCCCCGCUUGACAGAGGACCAUGGGGCACAGAGAGGUCAAGUCACUUGCCCCACGCCCCCCAGUCCAUUAGCCUGGAACUUCAACUUCGAGGACCCUCACUGGAGCGCGUGGACCCAGGGUGCCCCCUGUGCCUUGUGGGUGUGGAGACCAAGAGCUGCGAGGAUGUUGGUUUGCUGAACUGUUCCCUGAGUCUGUAUGUGGGGCCUGGCACACGCUCAGCUGCCCAAGCUUCCUCUCUCCCUGGGAGACCGGGACUGACCCGGUCCCCCUUCUACAGAAGGGGACACGGGCACACACUAGAGUGGUCUUAAAUGCCUGAAUUAUGAAAAUUAAGAAAUUACUGUACACCUAAAACUAAUACAAUUAUGUAUUAUAAGAUGCUGUUUCAGCACAGAAGAAAACAUGCUUGGAAGCAAGGCUGUAAAUGGAAAGGUGACCCCAUACGAAAACCACCCGCAUUGUAACAGAACCGGAUCAUCUCGGAGCACAAACCACCGCGAACCGAGCCGCCUUCACCUCCUGCCCCCGGGAUCCCCGUGGGGCAUUCCGGGCGCGCCUUCCCGAGGCCCGGGCCGAGAGGCAGGGACGCCCCCGGGCGGCAGCGGCGCUGCGACGGGGCCGCGGCGACCCCUCGGGCUGGCGGGCGGCCCUCCCCCGCGCCCCCGGCCUGACCCCGCGCCCCCGCCCCGCCCGCCGGCCGCGAUAAGGCGGCGGCCCUUUGUUCCUCCCCCAGCUGGGUAAACCGCGUCGCCGCCCCUCGCCGCGGCCGCUGGCCCGGGGGCACCUUUGUCCCGCCCAGCGCCGCGGACAAUGGCCCGGGGAGCCGCACAUUGUCCGGCACCUUGUGUACACUCGGGGCGGCCAGGUGCGCGGCCGCGGAAUGCAGGGUCGGCGCGGGGCCGGCGGGUGGGGGGAGCGCGGGAGACCCCUCCCCACGCCCCACUCCGCCCGCCUCCGGACCCCGCCUUCUCGCCAGG